This 496-nucleotide ribosomal RNA is filed under the name uncultured bacterium. RNAcentral's name for it is "partial 16S ribosomal RNA". It matches the Rfam family "Bacterial small subunit ribosomal RNA", at positions 29 to 507 of the family's 1533-position model. The record is from RNAcentral.
AUGAACGCUGGCGGCGUGCCUAAUACAUGCAAGUCGAGCGAACGGACGAGAAGCUUGCUUCUCUGAUGUUAGCGGCGGACGGGUGAGUAACACGUGGAUAACCUACCUAUAAGACUGGGAUAACUUCGGGAAACCGGAGCUAAUACCGGAUGAUAUUUUGAACCGCAUGGUUCAAAAGUGAAAGACGGUCUUGCUGUCACUUAUAGAUGGAUCCGCGCUGCAUUAGCUAGUUGGUAAGGUAACGGCUUACCAAGGCAACGAUGCAUAGCCGACCUGAGAGGGUGAUCGGCCACACUGGAACUGAGACACGGUCCAGACUCCUACGGGAGGCAGCAGUAGGGAAUCUUCCGCAAUGGGCGAAAGCCUGACGGAGCAACGCCGCGUGAGUGAUGAAGGUCUUCGGAUCGUAAAACUCUGUUAUUAGGGAAGAACAUAUGUGUAAGGAACUGUGCACAUCGUGACGGUACCUAAUCAGAAAGCCACGGCUAACUACGUG